Molecule: non-coding RNA, 91 nt
Filed under: Ruminococcus flavefaciens
Lineage: Bacteria; Bacillati; Bacillota; Clostridia; Eubacteriales; Oscillospiraceae
Description: TPP riboswitch (THI element)
Rfam family: TPP riboswitch aptamer (THI element) (bases 4-84)
About the family: Vitamin B(1) in its active form thiamin pyrophosphate (TPP) is an essential coenzyme that is synthesised by coupling of pyrimidine and thiazole moieties in bacteria. The previously detected thiamin-regulatory element, thi box was extended, resulting in a new, highly conserved RNA secondary structure, the THI element, which is widely distributed in eubacteria and also occurs in some archaea.
Source: RNAcentral
CGACAGGGGAGCUUGUAUACAGGCUGAGAGGAAGGUGCAACCUUCGACCCUAUUACCUGAUUUGGAUAAUGCCAACGUAGGGAGCUGUAUG